Molecule: ribosomal RNA, 426 nt
Filed under: uncultured prokaryote
Description: bacterial SSU rRNA
Rfam family: Bacterial small subunit ribosomal RNA
Source: RNAcentral
UGGGGAAUUUUCCGCAAUGGGCGCAAGCCUGACGGAGCAAUACCGCGUGAGGGAGGAAGGCUUUUGGGUUGUAAACCUCUUUUCUCAAGGAAGAAGUCCUGACGGUACUUGAGGAAUCAGCAUCGGCUAACUCCGUGCCAGCAGCCGCGGUAAUACGGAGGAUGCAAGCGUUAUUCGGAAUUAUUGGGCGUAAAGCGUCCGCAGGUGGUGCCUCAAGUCUGCUGUCAAAGACCGAAGCUCAACUUCGGGCAGGCAGUGGAAACUGAAGCACUAGAGUACGGUAGGGGUAGAGGGAAUUUCCAGUGUAGCGGUGAAAUGCGUAGAGAUUGGAAAGAACACCGAUGGCGAAGGCACUUUACUGGGCUAUUACUAACACUGAGAGACGAAAGCUAGGGUAGCAAAUGGGAUUAGAUACCCGCGUAGUCC